Molecule: long non-coding RNA, 1655 nt
Filed under: Homo sapiens (human)
Lineage: Eukaryota; Metazoa; Chordata; Mammalia; Primates; Hominidae
Description: HSALNT0154770
Source: RNAcentral
GUGUGAGGAGUGCAGAUGAAGGACACAGCAGAAGCACUGGCCUUGGGAUCAUUUCUUGGAACAACUGAAGCAGCUCAGGCAAAAGAAAGGAUAUGUGUAAGCUCUGUCUAAGAAGAAAGGCAGAGGGUGAAGUUCAAGAAGCCCUGCUAGCCCUGGGAGGGGCAGUCCCUUCAGGAUCAGCAAGGCCCCAAGAUGUCAAAACAUCAAAAAUACAGUAAAUAAAAAAGCAUGAUUAAUACAGACAGCAAGCUUCUAAGGAUGGGAACAAAGGGGAGUGGUGGGGAGUAGGGAAGAAGCAAAGGUUUAGAUGCAGGUAAGAGGAACAGAGACAGACUGAGAGGAUAGCUGUGUUUCAAAGUGUGAGUGUAUGUUUUUAUGUUUUAAAGAAAGAAAGAGGCCAGGCGCGGUGGCUCAUGCCUGUAAUCCCAGCACUUUGGGAGGCUGAGGCAGGUGGAUCACCUGAGCUCAGGAGUUCGAGAUGAGCCUGGCCAAUGUGGAGAAACCCCACCUCUAUGAAAACCACAAGAAUUAGCCAGGCGUGGUGGCACACCUGUAAUCCCAGCUACUCUGGAGGCUGAGGUGGGAGAAUCACUUGAACCUGGGAGGUGGAGGUUGCAGUGAAUUAAGAUCGCACCACUGCACUCCAGCCUGAGUGAUAGAGCAAGACUCCAUACCAAAAAAAAAAAAAAAAAAAAAAAAAAGAGAGAGAGAGAGAAAGAGAAAGAGAGAUGGCAGCUGCAACAAGGAAUGAAACAUUGGACAAAGAACCAGGACAAGUAGAGGAAAUGCUCAGGACACUUUGCUGCAUGACAGACAUCCAAAUCAUGCAGAUGUGUUGACAAACACCAGUCCAAGGACACAAACCUGCAUCUUACCCAGCCUCUCAGCAUCAAACACUUUUGCAUGGCACCAAGUAGGAUCAUCUCAGGAAAUGUGUGUUCAAUGAGUUCCAGAGGAGAUUAGCGAUGAAAUACCAAACCCUUACCCAGAACACUUUGUAGAAGCACCACCUUGGCUUUGAAGUCCCAGGACUCACCUGGUAUGAAAUCCCCCUUUUACAGAGGAGCUCCAUGAGGUCAAAUGAUUUACCCAAGAUCAUAAAGGUAAAUGGUGGAACAGAGCUGUGAAGCCCAAGUUCAUCUGACUUCAAUACCUGGACAUGCAAGCAUUAAUUUCAGAUAUCUAAACUUCAGGUAAGAUGCGUCCCUGAACAUGUUUUUCCAGAAGACAAGGAAGCGAUUGUUCUAGAUGAGAACCCAAGGGAAGUCCAUAAAGCCAGAGAGUCCUUUUAAAGCAUAAGUGCAGUUAAGUGACACUAGGAGAUGAAGCAAUUCUUAGUGUAUUAGCAUGUGUGUAUGGAUGGGUGCACAUACGUGUUGCUGCAUGUACAGGUGCAUUACCAAGGCUAUGCCCCUUUUGCUAUUGGUUAGUUUUAUUUGCUCCAUAUACAUGCAUUGCAGAUAGGUUGGUAGACAGACAAACAGACUUACAUAUAUGCAGAUGGACAGAUUAAGGGGGAAGGGGUCAUAAAGGCAUCUCAACUACCCUGGUGGUUGACUCUAAUAAAACAGCUCUGUUGGAAUAAUGCAGUGUCUGAGAGAUGGGGUGUAAUAUGGUUAAAUGCUUUUACAGUUCCCCAUUAAAGUAAGAGGAUG